This 98-nucleotide microRNA precursor is filed under the name Alligator mississippiensis (American alligator). Its description in RNAcentral is "microRNA ami-mir-2970 precursor". The stretch from base 14 to 92 matches the Rfam family "mir-2970 microRNA precursor family". Lineage: Eukaryota; Metazoa; Chordata; Crocodylia; Alligatoridae. The record is from miRBase by way of RNAcentral.
CGGGCCUCUUCCUGCCACUGCAGACAGUCAGCAGUUGGUCUGGCGUGAGCAGCAUUCUCAGAUCACCUCUUGGCUGUGGGUGGUGCAGAGAGCGCCGC